GAUGAACGCUGGCGGCGUGCCUAAUACAUGCAAGUCGAGCGAACGGACGAGAAGCUUGCUUCUCUGAUGUUAGCGGCGGACGGGUGAGUAACACGUGGAUAACCUACCUAUAAGACUGGGAUAACUUCGGGAAACCGUAGCUAAUACCGGAUAAUAUUUUGAACCGCAUGGUUCAAAAGUGAAAGACGGUCUUGCUGUCACUUAUAGCUGGAUCCGCGCUGCAUUAGCUAGUUGGUAAGGUAACGGCUUACCAAGGCAACGAUGCAUAGCCGACCUGAGAGGGUGAUCGGCCACACUGGAACUGAGACACGGUCCAGACUCCUACGGGAGGCAGCAGUAGGGAAUCUUCCGCAAUGGGCGAAAGCCUGACGGAGCAACGCCGCGUGAGUGAUGAAGGUCUUCGGAUCGUAAAACUCUGUUAUUAGGGAAGAACAUAUGUGUAAGUAACUGUGCACAUCUUGACGGUACCUAAUCAGAAAGCCACGGCUAACUACGUG
This 497-nucleotide ribosomal RNA is filed under the name uncultured bacterium. Its description in RNAcentral is "partial 16S ribosomal RNA". It matches the Rfam family "Bacterial small subunit ribosomal RNA", at positions 28 to 507 of the family's 1533-position model. The record is from RNAcentral.